RNAcentral lists this ribosomal RNA (448 nucleotides) under uncultured bacterium. RNAcentral describes it as "bacterial SSU rRNA". It matches the Rfam family "Bacterial small subunit ribosomal RNA", at positions 330 to 794 of the family's 1533-position model. The record is from RNAcentral.
CCCAGACUCCUACGGGAGGCAGCAGUGGGGGAUAUUGCACAAUGGGGGGAACCCUGAUGCAGCGACGCCGCGUGGGUGAAGGAGCGUUUCGGCGCGUAAAGCCCUAUCGGCAGGGAAGAAGGAGGACGGUACCUGACUAUGAAGCCCCGGCUAACUACGUGCCAGCAGCCGCGGUAAUACGUAGGGGGCAAGCGUUAUCCGGAUUUACUGGGUGUAAAGGGGGCGCAGACGGCAGCGCAAGCCAGGAGUGAAAGCCCGGGGCCCAACCCCGGGACUGCUCUUGGAACUGCGCGGCUGGAGUGCAGGAGGGGCAGGCGGAAUUCCUGGUGUAGCGGUGAAAUGCGUAGAUAUCAGGAGGAACACCGGUGGCGAAGGCGGCCUGCUGGACUGCGACUGACGUUGAGGCCCGAAAGCGUGGGGAGCAAACAGGAUUAGAUACCCCUGUAAU